This 497-nucleotide ribosomal RNA is filed under the name uncultured bacterium. RNAcentral's name for it is "partial 16S ribosomal RNA". The stretch from base 16 to 380 matches the Rfam family "Bacterial small subunit ribosomal RNA", at positions 43 to 396 of the family's 1533-position model. The record is from RNAcentral.
GAUGAACGCUGGCGGCGUGCCUAAUACAUGCAAGUCGAGCGAACGGACGAGAAGCUUGCUUUUCUGAUGUUAGCGGCGGACGGGUGAGUAACACGUGGAUAACCUACCUAUAAGACUGGGAUAACUUCGGGAAACCGGAGCUAAUACCGGAUAAUAUUUUGAACCGCAUGGUUCAAAAGUGAAAGACGGUCUUGCUGUCACUUAUAGAUGGAUCCGCGCUGCAUUAGCUAGUUGGUAAGGUAACGGCUUACCAAGGCAACGAUGCGUAGCCGACCUGAGAGGGGGGUAGGCCAACAGGGAAAGUGAAAGACGGCCAGGACUCCUAGGGAAGGCAGAGAGGGGGAAGGUUCGCAAAUGGGGGAAAGAUUGACGGAGCAACGGGAGGGUGGGGAAGAAGGGCUGCGGGUGGGAAAACGGUUUUAUGGGGGAAAAAAGAUUGUGAAAGUAACGGGGCAGGAGUGACGGGAACGUAAAAAGAAGCCCAGGCUAAAUAAGGG